UACAGAGGUCUCGAGCGUUAAUCGGAGUCACUGGGCUUAAAGGGUGCGUAGGCGGAUCUUCAAGUGUCUUGUGAAAUCCCACGGCUCAACCGUGGAAUUGCUCGAUAGACUGGAGAUCUUGAGGUUGGUAGGGGUCGCUGGAACUCUAGGUGGAGCGGUGAAAUGCGUAGAUAUCUAGAGGAACGCCGAAGGUGAAGACAAGCGACUGGGCCAAAUCUGACGCUGAGGCACGAAAGCGUGGGGAG
This 245-nucleotide ribosomal RNA is filed under the name uncultured Phycisphaera sp. Its description in RNAcentral is "partial 16S ribosomal RNA". It matches the Rfam family "Bacterial small subunit ribosomal RNA", at positions 524 to 768 of the family's 1533-position model. The record is from RNAcentral. Lineage: Bacteria; Pseudomonadati; Planctomycetota; Phycisphaerae; Phycisphaerales; Phycisphaeraceae.